Pelobates cultripes (western spadefoot toad) is the source of this 260-nucleotide non-coding RNA. The record is from the annotation of a GenBank genome assembly. Lineage: Eukaryota; Metazoa; Chordata; Amphibia; Anura; Pelobatidae.
UCUCUCUCUCUCUCUCCACCCGUUCUCCUGGUCUCUCUCUCUUUCUCCCCGUUCGUAUGUUCUUUGUGUGUGUUGUGUGUGUUAUCUGUGUCUCUCUGUUCCCACCGUGUGUGUGUUUUACUUGUCUGUCUCUACCUGUUCCCUCUGUGUUUUUUUUAUUUUUAUUUAUAAUCUUUAUUCAAAGAGAUUUUUAUAUAUAUGUGACAAAAAUAAUAAAUGCAAACACGUAAAACACAAUACAUGCUGUGAGGAUAUUUAUG